UUUCCGUAGGUGAACCUGCGGAAGGAUCAUUCAUAAUAAGUGUUUUACUGCACUUUUUAAAAAUAGUACUCACCUUGUGUGCAAUGUUGUGUUUCCUUUCGGAGAAACACCUACACCAACCUAUAACCUUGAACCACUUUGUCUGAAAAACUAUUAUGAAUACUUAAUUCAAAAUACAACUUUCAACAACGGAUCUCUUGGCUCUC
RNAcentral lists this unclassified non-coding RNA (206 nucleotides) under plant metagenome. RNAcentral describes it as "partial contains small subunit ribosomal RNA, internal transcribed spacer 1, and 5.8S ribosomal RNA". The record is from RNAcentral.